RNAcentral lists this ribosomal RNA (388 nucleotides) under Telonemia sp. Its description in RNAcentral is "partial small subunit ribosomal RNA". It matches the Rfam family "Eukaryotic small subunit ribosomal RNA", at positions 582 to 975 of the family's 1831-position model. The record is from RNAcentral. Lineage: Eukaryota; Telonemia.
AUUCCAGCUCCAAUAGCGUAUAUUAAAGUUGUUGCGGUUAAAAAGCUCGUAGUUGGAUUUCUGCUGAGGACGACUGGUCCGCCCCCUGGGUGAGCAUCUGGUUCGGCCUGGGCAUCUUCUUGGGGAACGUAUCUGCACUUGAUUGUGUGGUGCGGUAUACAGGACUUUUACCUUGAAAAAAUUAGAGUGUUCAAAGCAGGCGUUUGCUUGAAUAUAUUAGCAUGGAAUAAUGGAAUAGGACGCUGGUUCUAUUUUGUUGGUUUUGAGAACCAGAGUAAUGAUUAGUAGGGACAGUUGGGGGCAUUCAUAUUUCAUUGUCAGAGGUGAAAUUCUUGGAUUUAUGAGAGAUGAACUUCUGCGAAAGCAUUUGCCAAGGAUGUUUUCAUCG